This 1333-nucleotide long non-coding RNA is filed under the name Manacus vitellinus (golden-collared manakin). Its description in RNAcentral is "lncRNA (ENSMVIG00005009484.1)". The record is from RNAcentral. Lineage: Eukaryota; Metazoa; Chordata; Aves; Passeriformes; Pipridae.
GAUGUCCAAGCCCCCAUCAGUCCAUCUGUUGCCUUAUAAACAGGGUCACCCCACUGCACUGCUGACAGUGCUCCUGUGGGGCAGUGACCCCCCAGUUCAUCUGUGCUGGGACCCCCCAUCCCUGGCUCAGCACAGACCAUUCACAAGGACUAAUGACUUUUUAGCCAAUUUGUGUUUCAUUGUGGUAAACAGCCCCCUCCUGCAGGUGCUGAGGGGUCUUCCCAGGUCACCUGCACUUCCUGAAGUCCCUUGUGUCCCCUCUUUCUUCCCUCCACCAGAGAAAGAGGAGGAUUCCUAUUCCUAUGAAAAUGUCAUCAUUGGAGUGUCUCACGGCUUUGACCCGGAUGAGGCUGCAGACUACGAGAACAGCGAGGCCAUGCACACGUGGAAGCUGCAGCAAGAGGAAGCCCUGCAGACAGAGAGCCUGGAUGAGGAGCCAGUCUACAUCAACACAGCUCCUGCAUCAGUCCCUGCCCUGCUGUCAAAGCAAAGUAUUCUGCAUAAAGUCUGAAGAAAUCCUUGGCUGAGCUGCAGGAGCUCACCCAGCGAGCACGCACAGGGGGAGAGGGGAGAUUUCCAGCCCUCAGUGAAAUCUCUUCUCCAAAUUGUGCCCACAAUCACAUAGAAGGGAUGUCACUGAAAGGAAGAAAUGCUCUGCUUGAAGGCCCACAGAAGUCCCAACUGCAAACCUGCAACUGGACAAAGCUCUCUGCCCACAGGGACCAUGGGCAGGCCCCCACCUCGUCAUCCCACCUCAUUUCCCUGCAGCUCCACUCGAGGGAGGGUGGCCAGUCUGUGCAAUGUUUUCUCCUGCCAAGCAUGAAGUGAAUCCUUAAAUUGCUGAGCAGUAAUGCAGCCAGUUACUUAAUUUGUCAGGGUGACUCAUGCACGAUGGUACUAAGCCCGAGGGAUUAUGUUCUGAUGUAGUUCCUGUGCUCUCCCAUAGAAGCAGUUUCCUACAAGAGAGGAACUGGCAAGGCAGAGGUUGUAUUUACAACAGCAGUAGUUCUGUGGAGCUCAAUGAGAUACCAACCUGUUCACAAAAGCUAAAGAGGAUUAAGUCCCUGCCUUAUCCACAGCUUGUGAUUCACAGUGUUGAUCUGUGGCAGUUUUCCUCGUGUUUCAGUAUCUGUUUUAUAAGGAUACAAAGAACCAGCAGCAACUGAGAGGGUCAGAUCCACAGCCACCAGCCUCAGACACUGCACCAGUCCCUCGGCAGGGCUGUAGGAACAUCAGCCCUGAGACAGAACCCUGGUCUCCUGAGCCCUGAUGCACAGAUCUGGCACCUUUGGACCACUUAUUUAUUAAAAUUGAAAAGCUUCCAAAGAAAAUG